CACGUAGUUAGCCGUGGCUUUCUCAUAAGGUACCGUCAAUUGAUAGUCAUUUCCUCCUAUCACCUUUCUUCCCUUAUAACAGAAUUUUACAACCCGAAGGCCUUCUUCAUUCACGCGGCGUUGCUCGGUCAGGCUUUCGCCCAUUGCUGAAGAUUCCCUACUGCUGCCUCCCGUAGGAGUCUGGGCCGUGUCUCAGUCCCAGUGUGGCCGUUCACCCUCUCAGGUCGGCUACGCAUCGUCGCCUUGGUAGGCCUUUACCCCACCAACUAGCUAAUGCGCCGCAGGCUCAUCCAUCAGUGAUGCCAGGAGCAUCUUUAAACUUUCGUCCUAUCCGGUAUUAGCGAUCGUUUCCAAUCGUUGUCCCCGUCUGAUGGGCAGAUCACCUACGUGUUACUCACCCGUUCGCCGCUUCCCACCGAAGUGGUUCGCUCGACUUGCAUGUAUUAGGCACGCCGCCAGCGUUCAUCCUGAGCCAGGAUCAAACUCU
Molecule: ribosomal RNA, 487 nt
Filed under: uncultured Turicibacter sp.
Lineage: Bacteria; Bacillati; Bacillota; Erysipelotrichia; Erysipelotrichales; Turicibacteraceae
Description: partial 16S ribosomal RNA
Source: RNAcentral